GCAAGUCGAACGCGAAAGUCACUUCGGUGGCGAGUAGAGUGGCGGACGGGUGAGUAACGCGUAGGAAUCUACCCAGUAGUGGGGGACAACUCGGGGACACUCGAGCUACUACCGCAUACGCCCUACGGGGGAAAGUGGGGGAUCUUCGGACCUCACGCUAUUGGAUGAGCCUGCGUCGGAUUAGCGAGUUGGUAGGGUAAAGGCCUACAAAGGCGACGAUCCGUAGCUGGUCUGAGAGGACGAGC
Molecule: ribosomal RNA, 245 nt
Filed under: uncultured bacterium
Lineage: Bacteria
Description: partial 16S ribosomal RNA
Rfam family: Bacterial small subunit ribosomal RNA
Source: RNAcentral